AUGUCUUGGGAAAAGCAGUGGAGAAGACUUCACUCUUUACUCACUUACUUUACCUCUCUUUCCAGCAACCUGACCCUGAUGUCCUCAGUAGUUUACAAUCUCAAUGACAUCUUCACAGCUCUGAAAACAUUUACUUAUUUUCAAGCAAAGCCAAGAACCAC
This 161-nucleotide long non-coding RNA is filed under the name Fukomys damarensis (Damara mole-rat). RNAcentral's name for it is "lncRNA (ENSFDAG00000028646.1)". Lineage: Eukaryota; Metazoa; Chordata; Mammalia; Rodentia; Bathyergidae. The record is from RNAcentral.